AGGAGGCAACCUAUGGAAGAAACCUGGAGAGGAAUCGUGCUCAAAGGGGAUGGCAGUUCUCUUCUGGCUGGGCCGAGUGGGGAGUUAAGAGUACAUGUGGCCAUUCAUUCCAGAAGUUUGAACGUUCAUAGAUCACCAGCAGGGUCAUAUAAUAACCAUGGUGGCUAUAGAGAGGGCAACAGUUCAACAACUCGGGAGUCAAUGUCAGUUGGCUUUUCAUGACCAGGUGUUCUGAGAUGAGAGAGAGUGGCCGGUGAAUCGGGGUCAGGGGUCAACAGCAGCAGUCAGGACCACAGAACAAACUGGAUCAGUACGACCAGGUGGACGGGACAGGAACAGCCAGGAGUCGUCAGGCCAGGUAGUCCUGAGGCAUGGUCCUCCAGGACGGGAGACAUAGAGAGAUGGAGGAGAAUUAGAGAAUGGAAUGCUACUAAAUACAUGGAAACAAUACUAUGAGCCUGUCCUCCUAUAGCAGCCUCCUCUGAUAGAGAGAGCAUGCCUAAGAACACACAGUACAUCAGAUAAGGCAAGACAGACUGAUGAUAGUCGCAAGACACUGUGACCCCGUCCAAUGUUACACCUGAAUGGGGCCAAUCAGGCAGGAUAUAACCCCACCCACUUUGCCGAAGCACAGCCCCCACACCCCUGUACACACCGAUUUAACAUUUUCAAGUAGUUCUUGUUUGCCCAGUUAGUAGAGCAUGGUGCUUGCAAUGCCAUGGUUGUGGAUUCAAUUCUCAUGGUGGACCAGUACGAAAAAAAACUAUGAAAACGGAUGCACUUGGUACUAUAAAUCAGUCUGGACAAGUGUCUGCUAAAUGACUAAAAUGUGAAAUAAAACAUCUGCGACGCACAACUCUACUAAUCAACCCACCACAUGGCUAAUAAAGAACUGUUAUUUGAUGUCCUACUCCCCCCCCAAAUGGUAGGGAACACAGGGGAACACAGCACCAGAUAUGUAAUACAUCCGAUCUACCUGGCAGGCACAUACGUCAAAAUGUUAAGACUUCAUUUGUACGGACCAACAGUUGCCCAAAGGAGACACUAAUUCAACUGACUGCGUAAAAGACCCAGAGGUGAUAGACUGACAUUCACGUGGAGAUGAAGAUGUGGGGACAUUUUCUCUACUUGCGUGAGACGGAUUGGGAUAGUAGUGUUAAAUAUCACAACAUACACACUUCCUGCAACAUUCUUGGGGCCCUUGACACUGCUCUGGCAAUGCUACUCAAGCGUUGCCCACCCCUGGGAGAAGACAGCAGUGUCCCAGUCCUGCUGUCACUGCCAUGCAGGGAGGGGGCUUUCUUCUGUUUGUUUUUCCAGAGUUAAGACCAACAGUUCCUUAUUGAGCACUGUGAAUGACACCAGAGAGAGUCAACAUACCACCUGUAAGUAGUAAAUACACCCCCCCCAUGAAAAAUAUUGCAGUUAGAGUGCAGUAUAACUGCACUAUGCUGCAAAUACUGCAUUCAAAAUAAAUAAAAUACUGCAGUAAUUGUGCAGUGUAACUGCAGUUAAGAGUGCAGUAGAACUGCAGUUAUUCUGCAAUUACUGUGUUAAAAAUACCACAGUCAACUGCAGUUACUGCACUUUUACUGCAGUUUCAAAACUGCAAUCAUUUUUUGGAAGGGCUUUGUUGAUGGCAACGAGCCCUUCCUGGCUGUGAAGAUGGGAUGGGACUCUGUUCAGGAAACGUGUUAAAGACCCACUGGGUAAAAACGGGUUGUAUCAACGUAUCAACCUACCAAAAAAUAAAUAAAAAAAGUGAAAACCGAUUGGAUUUGCAAAAAGUAAUCACUGUAAAGGGAAUUUCCUCCUAACUUAUAACAUAAAUCCAAUAACAUGGUGACAUGCUUUGUUGAUUUCAUGUGGAAUUCACAUUAGUUUACAACUCAACCAAAUGUAAAUCAAAACUAAACAUUGAACUGAUGUCUUUACCCAGUGCCUUUUAAGAAAAAAGAUUGCAGUCAGAAUGCAAUACAAUGCAGUAUAACUGCAGUUAAAGUGCAGUCUACCUGCAGUAUGCUGCAAAUACUGCAUCCAAAAUAUCACCGUUUUUUUUACUGCAGUAAUUUUGCAGUGUAACUUCAGUUACAGUGCAGUAGAACUGCAGUUAUUCUCCAAUUACUCUAUCCAAAAUACCUCAGUCGACUGCAGUUACUGCAGUUUCAUAACUGC
Molecule: long non-coding RNA, 2175 nt
Organism: Oncorhynchus tshawytscha (Chinook salmon)
Lineage: Eukaryota; Metazoa; Chordata; Actinopteri; Salmoniformes; Salmonidae
Source: Ensembl